Molecule: ribosomal RNA, 209 nt
Filed under: uncultured Pelotomaculum sp.
Lineage: Bacteria; Bacillati; Bacillota; Clostridia; Eubacteriales; Desulfotomaculaceae
Description: partial 16S ribosomal RNA
Rfam family: Bacterial small subunit ribosomal RNA
Source: RNAcentral
UGGGGAUGACGUCAAAUCAUCAUGCCCCUUAUGUUCUGGGCUACACACGUGCUACAAUGGCCGGUACAGACGGACGCAAAGCCGCGAGGCGGAGCAAAUCCGAAAAAGCCGGUCUCAGUUCGGAUUGCAGGCUGCAAUUCGCCUGCAUGAAGUCGGAAUCGCUAGUAAUCGCAGGUCAGCAUACUGCGGUGAAUACGUUCCCGGGCCUU